Molecule: long non-coding RNA, 247 nt
Filed under: Ricinus communis (castor bean)
Lineage: Eukaryota; Viridiplantae; Streptophyta; Magnoliopsida; Malpighiales; Euphorbiaceae
Description: long non-coding RNA (RCOM_LNC000099)
Source: RNAcentral
ACAGAAUCUCUUUGUUGUAUGAUGGCCUUCUUCCUAGAACACCGUUUCCACCAUUUCCUUUCUCUAUGAUUUGUUUGUAACUUAAUUAUAGCAGUGUGAUGACUGAAAUCAAUCUUGUGUAUAUAGGAUUAUAUUAGAUAGGCGAAUCGGGGACCUAUUCAAAUAAUGUAAAUAGUUUUGCAGAUAAAAUUAUAGUUGAUGGAAAGAAAUGCUUUUGCAUUCAUUUCUCCUCCUCCUCCUAUGCUUU